GGAAGGAAAACGAAGUAGUGUAAGGGAAUAGAAACCGGAAGUACUGUUUUAACCAGGGUAGUAAGGGAGCGGGGGGCAGUGAAGAGAGAAAACCGCUCUAUUGGUGAGAAAGCGCUUUGCUGGGAAAGGGAGCAAAGGGUAAAGGCCCUGAGGGAGGAGCCUUUCCAUAAAACUCAAAACGUCCGCUUUGUGGAGGCAGGUGUGCCAGACGGAGUCUGUCAGGUAGCCAGGGGCUAGGUCCUGUUGGAUUUUAUUCAACGAAAUUUAGGAGGAGCUUGAAGGAUAUUAGAGGAAUGAUGGGAUAUGUCUUAAGAUUUUAAAAGAUCCCUCUGAUUGCUGAUUGUGAAUAGACCAGAGAGGAGUCUUGGGGAUCGGGAGGUUGUAAGGGUGGGAGCAAAGAGACCAGGUAGGAGGUAACUGUACGUGAUGAAUAGGAUGCCAGUGUGGCUCAGGUGAAAUGAGCUAGGGAAAGAAUGAUAGCCACGGGGCAGAUCUGACAGGGCCUUGUAGAUCACGGAAUUCUUUGAAGAGUUGGGAGGCCCUGGGAAGAGUAACGUGGUCCCGCUUAAGUGUUACAAGGAAUACUCAAGUUGCUGUGUGAAUAGACCUAGAGGGGCAAGCACGGAAGCAGGCAGAGAGCGCAGUUACUGGGCUGGAGAGAGAGGAUGGAUUAGACUGGAGGUGGAGGAGGUAGUGGGAUUUGGGCUCUAAUUUGAAGGUAGAGCCACAGGUCUUGCUAACGGAAUACGGAGUAUGAGUGAAAGAAUGGUGGUGCUGUUUACUGAGCUGGGGAACGCGGUGGGAGGAGCAAAUCUGGCACAGCUAUGGUUUGGAGCAAGUUAAGUGUCAACUGUCUAGGAGACACCAGUGGGUGUUGAGUGGACUGUUGACCAUUCCAGCUUGGAGUUCAGGCCGGAGCAGUGAAAUUACAAGCCACGACUGUCUAGGUGGUAUUAAAACCAUGAACAUAGCUGGGAGGAGAGUACAGAUAAGAGUAGAAAGAUCUAAGGACCACGACCUGGAGUACUCCCACAUUUUUAGAUGGACAAAAGAAGGAAAAUCCAGCUUAGGAAACUGGAAGGAAGUGGCUGUUGAGUAAGAGGAAAACCAAGGGAUUGUGUAUCUGUAAAGCCAGUCGAAGAAAGUCUUUUUGAAAGAAGAAGCUGAUCACCUGGGUUGAAUACUGCUGAGAAGUGAGGUUGGAUUGACCUACUCACUAGUGGUGUGACCUCAAGCAAAGCAGUUGCUCUCCCUGGGCCACUGUUCCCUCACUUGCAAAGAUGGGCAGUCUCGGGGUCGUUAGGAAAUGUGAAAGUGCCUGGCACGUUAAAGUCAGAGUCGUACCCCCAUCCAGCCAGCACUGUGCCCCUCACAGGUCAGCCCUGAACGUCAAAGGAGAUGAAAGUGAGAAGGUGCUUUGUGUGCCGCACAGCGCCCUACAGAACCCAUGAGCUAAAGUCUCUGUUCUGCUGCAGGGUCUUGUCACCCCAAAUCAACUUUGAUUUCAAAGCUCAUAUGGAAGGGGUCUGGAAAAUUAAAGCUCCAGACUUGCUCCUGAACACUGGUAGAGACCGGAUGCAAGACUACAAGGCCCCAGAUAAGCAUGUGACCUGAACUGGGUGUGACAUGAUCCACCAAGCCACAUGCACCAUCAGUAGGAAGUUGAUGUGUACGAUGCCAGCAACCUUGAGCAGGUCCCAGGAGCACAAUGUUUACCCAAAGAAAUAAAUGCUUAUGUCCACACAGACGAUUGUCCCUCUAUGUCCCUAUCAGCUUUAUUCAUAAUGACUAAAGAUGGAAACAACCCAGAUGCCCACGAACAGAUGGAAGUGACAAAUGGUGGCACUUCCACACAAGGGACUUAGCAAUAAACAAAGAAUCACUGAGACACACUGCAACCUGGAUGAACCUCAGAGGCAUUACAGCAAAUGAAAGAAGCCAGACACAGCAGAGGACAUGCUGCGCUACUCCAUUUCUGUGAAAUUCUAGAUCAGGCAAAGCUAAUCUACAGUGACAGAGGACAGAUCCCUGGUUGCCUGCCAGGGUGGGGACGGGGCUGACUACAGGGGACAUGGUGGGGACUCUGUAUCUUGAUGGGAUGGUUGGUCACAAGGGUGUGUACAUUUGCCAAAACUCAUUAAACUGUACACUUGAAAUGGA
Vicugna pacos (alpaca) is the source of this 2160-nucleotide non-coding RNA. The record is from RefSeq and is a predicted model, not a curated record. NCBI's taxonomy places the organism in Eukaryota, Metazoa, Chordata, Mammalia, Artiodactyla, Camelidae.